CUAAAAAACAAAAGGGCAGGUAGAUUCCAGAUAAAUAAUGUUGCAGGAAGGGGGUGAUAAAAUACAGAAAUGUGAUACACAGCAAACCCUCAACUGCUGUUUCAUUGGCUCCCAGUGUCUUAAUCUGUGUCUGCUAACACUUUAAGGUACAUCUGAAAUACCCCCCAAACCCAGAAAGCUUUUCAACAGCUAGGUUGUCCAAGAACUUGGAAAAUUCACCUUCUGAUGUCCUCCAAGACAGCUACCAUUUUUUAUACACCUUAUUUGCUCAGACCU
RNAcentral lists this long non-coding RNA (276 nucleotides) under Homo sapiens (human). RNAcentral describes it as "non-protein coding lnc-SLC3A2-3:1". The record is from RNAcentral. Lineage: Eukaryota; Metazoa; Chordata; Mammalia; Primates; Hominidae.